This 238-nucleotide ribosomal RNA is filed under the name Blastocystis sp. RNAcentral describes it as "partial small subunit ribosomal RNA". It matches the Rfam family "Eukaryotic small subunit ribosomal RNA", at positions 239 to 478 of the family's 1831-position model. Lineage: Eukaryota; Bigyra; Opalinata; Blastocystidae. The record is from RNAcentral.
CAUGAUAGUGAGUAAUAGUAACCUAUCGUAUCGCAUGCUUAAAGUAGCGAUGAGUCUUUCAAGUUUCUGCCCUAUCAGCUUUCGAUGGUAGCAUAUGGGUCUACCAUGGCAGUAACGGGUAACGAAGAAUUUGGGUUCGAUUUCGGAGAGGGAGCCUGAGAGAUGGCUGCCACAUCCAAGGAAGGCAGCAGGCGGGUAAAUUACCCAAUCCUGACACAGGGAGGUAGUGACAAUAAAU